UACGUAUGGUGCAAGCGUUAUCCGGAUUUACUGGGCGUAAAGGGAGCGCAGGCGGCGCGCCAAGUCUGAUGUGAAACCCCGGGGCUCAACUCCGGGCAUGCAUUGGAAACUGGCGGGCUGGAGUGCCGGAGAGGUAAGCGGAAUUCCUAGUGUAGCGGUGAAAUGCGUAGAUAUUAGGAGGAACACCAGUGGCGAAGGCGGCUUACUGGACGGCAACUGACGCUGAGGCUCGAAAGCGUGGGGAGCAAACAGG
This 253-nucleotide ribosomal RNA is filed under the name uncultured bacterium. RNAcentral describes it as "partial 16S ribosomal RNA". It matches the Rfam family "Bacterial small subunit ribosomal RNA", at positions 524 to 776 of the family's 1533-position model. The record is from RNAcentral.